GUAGGUGAACCUGCGGAAGGAUCAUUAACACGUUUUUAAAACAACGUUUGAUUUUUGAAUCAUCCAACCACACCAAACCGUGUCAUGUCUCAUUGGAUGGAAAAUGGACUCGUUCCAGUCCAAUCAAUGAGAUACACUCGACAUGACUGGAAUUUCCAAUUCUCGUCAUGUCUACUCACCCCUUUUUUCACCCCAUUUUAUUUGACUCACCCUACCAACCCCUAGCGGACUGAUCAAUUGUGUCGAUAUAUCGAGGACAGUGAAGAGAUGGAUUUUGUCCUUCUGUUCACCCCGUCGUCGAUCUAUGGACCGAACCAUAUGGAUGUUUCCAAAUGAGUUUAUCAAAUACAACUCUUAGCAAUGGAUAUCUUGGUUCUC
Molecule: unclassified non-coding RNA, 378 nt
Filed under: rhizosphere metagenome
Description: partial ribosomal RNA internal transcribed spacer region
Source: RNAcentral